UACGUAGGCAGCGAGCGUUGUUCGGAAUUACUGGGCGUAAAGAGUGUGUAGGCGGUGCUCUAAGUUCGGUGUGAAAUCUCCUGGCUCAACUGGGAGGGUGCGCCGGAAACUGGAGUGCUUGAGCGUGGGAGAGGAAAGCGGAAUUCCUGGUGUAGCGGUGAAACGCGUAGAUAUCAGGAGGAACACCAGCAGCGAAGGCGGUGGUCUGGGCCGACAUUGACGCUGAGGAGCGAAAGCGUGGGGAGCGAACAGG
RNAcentral lists this ribosomal RNA (253 nucleotides) under uncultured bacterium. RNAcentral describes it as "partial 16S ribosomal RNA". It matches the Rfam family "Bacterial small subunit ribosomal RNA", at positions 524 to 776 of the family's 1533-position model. The record is from RNAcentral.